This 425-nucleotide ribosomal RNA is filed under the name Hoylesella oralis. Its description in RNAcentral is "bacterial SSU rRNA". It matches the Rfam family "Bacterial small subunit ribosomal RNA", at positions 28 to 434 of the family's 1533-position model. Lineage: Bacteria; Pseudomonadati; Bacteroidota; Bacteroidia; Bacteroidales; Prevotellaceae. The record is from RNAcentral.
GAUGAACGCUAGCUACAGGCUUAACACAUGCAAGUCGCGGGGCAUCAUGGAGGUUGCUUGCAAUUUCUGAUGGCGACCGGCGCACGGGUGAGUAACGCGUAUCCAACCUUCCCAUUACUACGGCAUACCCCGUUGAAAGGCGGCCUAAUUCCGUAUGCAGUCCGAAGCAGUCAUCUAAUUUGGACGAAAGGUAUAUUCUAUCGGUAAUGGAUGGGGAUGCGUCCGAUUAGCCAGCCGGCGGGGUAACGGCCCACCGGGGCAUUGAUCGGUAGGGGUUCUGAGAGGAAGGUCCCCCACACUGGAACUGAGACACGGUCCAGACUCCUACGGGAGGCAGCAGUGAGGAAUAUUGGUCAAUGGGCGUAAGCCCUGAAACCCAGCCAAAGUAGCGUGCAGGAAGACGGGCCCCUAUGGGUUGUAAAACU